This 106-nucleotide ribosomal RNA is filed under the name Pteropus alecto (black flying fox). The record is from RNAcentral. Lineage: Eukaryota; Metazoa; Chordata; Mammalia; Chiroptera; Pteropodidae.
UUCUACAGCCAUGCCACCCUGAACAAGCACAAUCCUGUCUGAUCUGGGAAGGGCCUGGUUAGUACUGGGAUGGGAGAUCACCUAGGAAGACCAGGUGCUGUAGGUG